GAUGAAGAACGUAGCGAAAUGCGAUAAUUAAUGUGAAUUGCAGAAUUCAGUGAAUCAUCGAGUCUUUGAACGCACAUUGCGCCCCCUGGUAUUCCGGGGGGCAUGCCUGUCCGAGCGUCAUUGCUGCCCUCAAGCACGGCUUGUGUGUUGGGCUUCCGUCCCUGGUAACGGGGACGGGCCCAAAAGGCAGUGGCGGCACCAUGUCUGGUCCUCGAGCGUAUGGGGCUUUGUCACCCGCUCCCGUAGGUCCAGCUGGCAGCUAGCCUCGCAACCAAUCUUUUUAACCAGGUUGACCUCGGAUCAGGUAGGGAUACCCGCUGAACUUAAGCAUAUCAAUGAGCGGAGGA
Molecule: unclassified non-coding RNA, 347 nt
Filed under: soil metagenome
Description: partial contains 5.8S ribosomal RNA, internal transcribed spacer 2, and large subunit ribosomal RNA
Rfam family: 5.8S ribosomal RNA (bases 1-120)
Source: RNAcentral